UAAACCGGAGAGACUAACAGGAUUCCCCUAGUAACUGCGAGUGAAGCGGGAAAAGCUCAAAUUUAAAAUCUGGCAGUCUCUGGCUGUCCGAGUUGUAAUCUAGAGAAGUAAUGCCCGUGCUGGACCGUGUAUAAGUCUCCUGGGAUGGGGCGUCAUAGAGGGUGAGAAUCCCGUCUUUGACACGGACUACCAGUGCAUUGUGGUAUGCUCUCAAAGAGUCGAGUUGUUUGGGAAUGCAGCUCAAAAUGGGUGGUAAAUUCCAUCUAAAGCUAAAUAUUGGCGAGAGACCGAUAGCGAACAAGUACCGUGAGGGAAAGAUGAAAAGAACUUUGGAAAGAGAGUUAAACAGUACGUGAAAUUGCUGAAAGGGAAACGCUUGAAGUCAGUCGCGUUGGCCGGGAAUCAGCCUUGCUUUUGCAUGGUGUACUUUCUGGUUGACGGGUCAGCAUCAAUUUUGACCGCUGGAAAAAGGCCUGGGGAAUGUGGCAGCUUCGGCUGUGUUAUAGCCCCUAGUCGCAUACAGUGGUUGGGAUUGAGGAACUCAGCACGCCGCAAGGCCGGGUUUCGACCACGUUCGUGCUUAGGAUGCUGGCAUAAUGGCUUUAAGCGACCCGUCUUGAAACACGGACCAAGGAGUCUAACAUGCCUGCGAGUAUUUGGGUGGAAAACCCAAGUGCGUAAUGAAAGUGAAAGUUGAGAUCCCUGUCGUGGGGAGCAUCGACGCCCGGACCAGAACUUUUGGGACGGAUCCGCGGUGGAGCAUGUAUGUUGGGACCCGAAAGAUGGUGAACUAUGCCUGAAUAGGGUGAAGCCAGAGGAAACUCUGGUGGAGGCUCGUAGCGAUUCUGACGUGCAAAUCGAUCGUCAAAUUUGGGUAUAGGGGCGAAAGACUAAUCGAUCCAUCUAUUGGGCCCA
RNAcentral lists this ribosomal RNA (915 nucleotides) under Agaricus sp. RNAcentral describes it as "LSU rRNA". It matches the Rfam family "Eukaryotic large subunit ribosomal RNA", at positions 47 to 959 of the family's 3401-position model. The record is from RNAcentral. Lineage: Eukaryota; Fungi; Basidiomycota; Agaricomycetes; Agaricales; Agaricaceae.